UUUUUUUUUUUUUUUUUUCUUCUUGGUAUUUAGUUUUUCUUUCUGGUGAGUGGAAUGAAAGGCAGAAUUAUGCUCUACUCACUGAAAUCUUUUGAAAUGCCACUAUGCUUUCCCCAAUCUUCUGGAUAACACUAAAGGAAAUCAAUAGAGAUCUUCCUAGGUGAAGGGAGUUUGACUGGCUAAUGUAUCACUCAUUUUGUUUUCACUGGUUAGGAGGUAGAACAUUGUUAAAUAUUUGCUAUAAUUCUUUCUUGGGUAUUUAAAGUUGCUUCAGUGGCAUAUUUUAUUAUAUAUAUCAACAACAAUGGUCGUCCUCGAGGAAAAAUAAACUGAAAUUAUAAUUUAGAUGUCUCUUUUUUUAAAAAUAUAGUGGAAGAUUACCCUGAGAUAAGCGUGGACUAUGGGUUGGACAUAUCUCAAAAAUAUGUUCUCUGUACCUGUGCUUUGGGCUGAUUUCAAUUUAGUUGAAUCUAUGAAUUAUUUUAUUAAGAAUUUGCUCUAAUUUAGUGGAUGUUACAGUGGGGAGGGGAGGGAAAUGUGGGUGCAAUUUCCAUGGUGGCCCGUAACCUCCACAGAGAUCAAGUCCAAUCUCUAUGAAGACUACCGGCCACCAUGUACUACACGACAUCAAGUACUACAGAGCUGUCCUGUGAACAUUCUAAAGGCUAAAACUACUGGAGAAGGAAGAGUUUAUGAAAAAUUAAUGUCGGAUUGGGUCUGAAAUCCUGGGUAGGCUUUAGAUCAGUGGAGAGAAAUGAAAACUAGCAGACAGACAAGCAAUGACCAGGACACAAAGCAGCAGUGAGCAUGCCCCAUAUAUGAAGUACUGUGGAGAAGAUGCUUGCUAGGUACUUAUAAGGCAAAUCUGUAUCAUGGAGGAGCUUGAAUCUCAGGAAGAGAAUCUUGCCUUGUUUUGAGAGGCGCUGGAGAAACUUUGCUGGAGACUUUGAGAAGAUUACACUGACAGGGAUGUGCAGGAAAAAAAAAUGGAGGGAGGUAGGAUCAACAUUUCAAAAAUCACUUGGAAACUUACUACAACAUUCCUGCUUACGUGGCCCCCAAAUAGUGGUUGCUAAAAAGAAAAGAGAGCUAAAGAAAAACAAGAUGGUAGAACAGUGCUUGACUUCAUUGUACGUUUAUUCACAGGUACCAUUUGGAGACCUCCCUGGGCCGUAGGUAUCAGUAUCCAAUACUGGCCCUGCCCUUACGGGGUGUAAAUUGUAGGAGACCAGAACCAGGACUGAGGUUGAGACCUAUGUGUGGAUUUUUUUAGCAAAGCUUUAAGUCAAAUGACUCUUGCAGAAUGUGAAACAGAAUCCAGAAGAAUACAUGCAAGCAUGUUACAAAGCGUUUAGGUUGCUCUUUUAUCCUUAAAGAGCCUGAAGAGCAUGUAGGAAAAACAGCAGGGAGUAAAAUGUGCUUGGUGAGACUCCAUCUCCAUCAGCCUCAGCAGUGGCCAAAGAUUGACCUCUGAACCCUCAAAGCUCCACCCUCCAUCCUAGCAAUCUUCUGGUAUCAAAACUGCUGGAAAAGCUCUGGAGCAGUCAUCAUAAGUCUCCUGAUUGAAUCUUGACUCUGUUCCUUGCUUAGUAUUAUGAUCUUGGGAUGUCAUUGAUACUCAGAGUCUCAGUCAGCUUCAUUUAUAAAAUGAGGCUAAUAUCACCCACUUGGCAAACUCAGGGGAUUAUCAGGAAGAUCAAGUAGAAAAUAUAUAUCAAGGCCACCAGGGCCUAAUGAUGGUGACGGAGAGAGGAGGAAAAAUGAAGAACUCUAUUUGGUAAUUCUUUGUUUUUCCUAGUUAUCAGAUUGUGAAUUUUUAAAGGAUACAUGAGAAUCAUUCUCAUGGUCAGAAUUUCAAGCCUUAGUCUAAAAAAUGCCUUAAUAUAAAGAAGCAGUUCUGGUCUAGUUAAAUGUUAGUUAAAUGCUUUUGUUGGGGAAUGCCUUUUUUAGCUCCAAAUGAAAACUUAUAUGGUAUAACUUGAAUACAUUAAAAAAAAAAAAGUGAAUCAUUUUUAGUGUAAAGAGGUUUUUUUAAAAAAAACAAAUUUAUGAAGUUCCCGUUGUGGCAUAGGGAAAAUGAAUCUGGCUAGUAUCCGUGGGGAUGCAGGUUUGCUCCCUGGCUUCCCUCAGUGGGUCAGGGAUCUAGUGUUGCUGUGAGUGGUGUAGGUCGCAUAUGCGACUCGAAUCCUGUGCAUUGCUGGGGCUGUGGCGUAGGCAGGCAGCUGUAGCUCCAAUUCAACCCCUAGCCUGGGAUCUUACAUAUGCCAUGAGUGUGGUCCUAAAAAGCAAAAACAAAAAAAGGUAAUUACUAUAAAAUCAGUCAUUGAGAAUAAUGAAGUUUUUCUGAUUAACACUAAAUUAGAAAUGAGGAUUUUAUAUCUAUAUCAACCUCUUAUUUUGUAUUUUUUUUCCUUCAGUUGCACAGUGUCAAAACAAUUCUGACUCACAUGGAUACGUCGUUAAAAUGAUCAUAACUGUAUUUAUCAGCUUGAAUUCUCCGUAGAAUCUUUAACUAGGAAGAAGAAGAAAAGCUUUGCUUUAAUGUCUGAGCACAAAAACAAAGUUAACUGACAACACAGACUCACACAUAGAGGAAGAAAUAGGUUAAAUAUGGCAUGCAUUGCAUGAGUGUAAGUUUCUUUUUAACAAAGUGUUUUAAAUAGUGGAAAAAACAGCAUUGCUUGGGUCAAAUAUUUGUGGAACUUUUGAAAGAACUCUCUGGAACCUUCAGUGUCUACAGAAUUGUGUCAGUAGCUGGCCACAUGCAUUGAGCACAGGAUAUUCUUCUGAGCACUAUUUGUGGUUUAUUUCCUAAUCCUUAUGACCACUGCUUGAGGCAGGUGAAGAUCCUGAGACACAAAAAGUUCAAAUAAUUUUCCAUAAAGCACACAGUUGAUAAAUAGCUGUGGCAAGAUUCAAACGUAGGAUGUUUAAUUCCCUGAUCUUAAGUCAUGGAGGAGGAAAACAGGUUAAUGGUCUCUCUACACAACUUAAUAGCCUGGUAAUUUCAGUUUUCACAUCUACCAAAUACAGAUCAGUUGUGAAGUUUAGUCAUGACACAAUCUGAAAACCUUGGCACUUACUGAAUGUUUAAUAGAUGUUUGAUAACUCUGAAUUUUCCCUAUGGUAAAUUUUUAUAAGCACUAUAAAGAAAAUGAAGAAGGCGAAGUAAUAGAGGGAAAAUGAAAAUGGUAGGAACCAUUUCAAACCACCGUGUGGUUGCGGAGGGUGGGCAGGAAGAAUGAUCUGCAUGUGCAAAGGCCCUGAGGUACACUGAAUAAGCUUGGGGUGGUCAAUGAACUGAGAGUGUAGUUGGAGAAAGUGGAAGUAUUUGAGGUUGGAGAAUGCACAAAGGACCUCCAGCGCCACGUCAAAAGGGAUGGAGAAGUUAAGAUUUCAUUUAUUUAUUUUUUUAAAUGAAAACGUAUAGCUUCAUUGACUAAAAGAGAGACCAUGCAAGGGGGAGCUUGUCUGGAUGAAUUUUGGCUGUCUCUUUUGAGCAACAUCAUUUCUCAUCUAUUUAUCUUCAAAAUCUCCAGCUAAGAGAAGGGGAAUGAUUGUGUAAUGUGACACACCCUUUUGUGGAUAAUUAUGUAAUACUACUAGGAUAAAAGCGUUUAGAGAGAGGAGGUAAUUUUACUCGUUCAGCCUAGAAUUUUUAGUAGAUAAAGAUAAAACUUUUCAAGCUGUCUCCACUACAUUGCCAUUUCUGUAAAGAAUCAAAUUACUCUCCUUUCUCCCUUUUACAAAAGAUUCGUGUCUUAAUUUAUCACAUGAAAUAAAAACAUUUACGUAAACUCUGCAAAUUGCAUCCCUGAGAAACCACAAAAGUCAAAAGAAAGUAAUUAAAGCAGGAUUAAUCAUAUAUAUGUUAUAUUUUUAACUUUCUAAAAGGUCACAGCUUGAUGAUUUAUGUUGCUACAAUAGUGAACCUGACAGGGAAUUACAACUUCUGAGAUAUUAGUGUUUAGCAGAUGGCAAUUUAUGACACUAAUCACUUAGUACCUAUAAGAAAAUUAUCUCGGUAAAUAUUCCAGACCACAUUGGAACUUAGGAGAUUCUUAAUAAACCGAUGAAAUAAUCACGAUGGUAAUUAUUACAGCGAAAGCCCAUUCUUUUAAGCAGCUGGACAGAAAAGAAAGGUCAAGAUUAAUGACCCUUUAGAGCCAAGAAGGGAACUUAGCACUUUCUGUGUUGUGGGUUACUCUGCCUUGAAGGGCUUGGUUGUGAAACACUAGCUGUAGGAUGUAUCCCCUCAUAUCACUAACCAUCAAAGAGGAUCGAUACAGAAAUGUGAAAGGUAGAGUUUCAGGUUCUAUAGUUUCCACUUGCAAUGUCACUGGUAAGUGAAAAGCCUGGGUUGAUUGCUUAGAAGAUUAAAUUGCUAUUACUGUUCACCUGGGGAGCAGAUUACAUGUCCUUUGUGAGUGUGCUCAGUUGGGGGAACUUGUGUGGUGUCUUGGAAAAAGAGCAGAAUUAAGAGGCAGAAGACUUAAUUUUGUUCACAGCAGACUAAAUAUAACCCUGGCUACGUCACUUAAUCUCUUUAGUUCUCAGCUUCCUCAGAAGUAAAAUGAAAACCAGAAAAUAGUGUCUCUUUUGCCUACUUCACUAGAUUUUUGAGGUUAAAAAAUAACAACGAAACUCUUAGUUACCUGUCAAGCAUUAUACUUUUGCAUUCAUCGCUAUAUUUUGUUUCACAGUAGAGAUCAGGAGGCUACUGUGUGGUCACUCUAGUGGGGUCAAUGUUUAUGCCAGGUCACACUUGAGUCACCCACCCACAUUUUGGGACCCAGGGGCUGCCUCACAUUAGGAGAGGCUGCAUUCUGGGAGAGGGGUUGUGGAGGCACAACUGUAUCUUUUUGGUCUCUUAUAAAAGCAACUCUAGCACUUUUCCUUUUUCUUCGGAGUCCAUGGUGUGGUUAGAAGAGUGGAACUCCUGCAAGGAGAGCAAGGCAGCUAGGUAGGCCUCCGCCAACCGAGACUUUCCAUACCCAGCUACACACUCUCACUGCUGCUUACAGAAAUUAUAAAUGCAGCUAAGAGACAUCUCUUCCAGAGAUUUCACUCCAUAUGUCUGCAAUUCAGUUGGUUUCUCUUCCUUUGCAUGAUGAAAAAUAGCAUCAUCUCUUUCAUUGCCAAAUACAGAAAGCUGGGAGUUGUUCUAGAUUUUUCUUCCUGUUCAACUCCGUGUCUUCACCCAACACCAACCCUGUAGAUCCCACUUCCUUAACUUGCAGCCACACAUCCCAUUCCAUUUGUGUUGCCUCUGACUUGAUGCUGGUUCUUUCGUCUUCACAGCACAUUUACUUCAGUAACUUCCUAACUGGGCUUCUCGGUCCAGAACCAGCUCUUAGAAGUCGCCCUCUUCUGUGAUGGCUACCUUCCUAACUUAGAGAGCUGACCAGCUUAUUUCCUUGCUAAGAAUUUGUUACUGCUCUCCAGAGCUUGCAAGUUUAUGGUAUGAUUUUAAUUCUUUGGCCCCAUCUCAGUCAAGCCUGAUCAUCUCACACCUCUCAGCAUGUCCUUUCCUCCGUCCAUAGCGUGCUUUUUCAUGCUUCUGCAAUUUCACCCAUGAUGCUAACACAGCCUAGAAAACUCUUCACCAUUAUAUGCCUGGCUAACUCGUAUUUAUUUUUAAAACUUCAGCUCUAUUGGCAUCUCUUUCCAAAAGCCUUCCUGAUACCUAGUCCUUUAGAUGUUGCUCCUCUGGGCUCUGUUAGUGCUCUGAGUAUACUGCUGCCGAAUUUGUUACUCCUCCUUAAUCCUAACCUUAAGGUUUUCCCGUGUAUUCCUAGACACCAGCAGUGCCUGGCUCGUAACCUGGUAUCCACUGUACUUCUCUGGAUUGGAUAAGUCAACACAGUCUAUAUAGGGGGGAACAUGCCACAGUGACAAUGAAAAUCACCCAUGUGAUUAGCUUGAUUGCCGCAAGGGAAGUCCAACCCUAACGACAAUACCUGUGAAGGCAGUAGAGUGAAGACUUAAGGAGGCAAAGGGGAACAAAUUGAAAAAGCGAGAAACUAGGAGACCAAAAGAAACUUAGGAUAAAUCUUACAGUGUUCUAGCCAAGGGUUGAAAUGUCUGUUAGGUUGCAGGCGCAUCCUUAAAGAGCGGGGCAGACUUUAUUGGAUUUGCAGUGUGUGAGAGGUAAGGAAUAGAUGGCGUAAAGGCAAGGGUAUGUUUGAAUGACUUGCGGAAAGUCAGGUUGGCUGCAGCAGAAUGAUCAAGGGUGCCAUGGGCUGAAUCCUGUCCCCUCUGAUUUCAUGUGCUGGAGUCUUAACCCCUGUGUUUGAAGAUAGAUCCUUUUAAAGAGAUGACUACAUUAAAAUGAAGGCGUGAGCCCUAAUCCUGUCUGACUGGUGUCCUUAUUAAAAGAGGAUAUUUGGACACAGAGAGACACCAGAGGAAAGACCAUGUGAGGACACAGUGAAAAGAUGGCCAUGUUCAAGCUAAGGAGAGACAUUUCGGAAGAAACUAAAUCCGGUGACACUGUGAGCGUCCAUGACUGUGGGAAAAUAAGUUUCUGUUGUUUCCGUCACCCAUUCUGGAGUAUUUUGUUACGGCAGCCCUAGCAAACUGGUCUAGAGAGGAUGAGUAAUGCACAAAGCCGGCAAAAUAACAGCAGUUUCGGCGGAGGGAACGGGGGAGAAUUAUGUUGUCAGGUCAUUGUAAAGAUUUAGGGUUUUAUUCUAGUGAAAGGGGAAGCCAGUGGAGGAUUCGGAGCCGGUGAAUAGGAUGAGCUGGCUUUUACUUUCAUGCAGAUGGGGAGCUGAUAAUCAGGAGUCAUGCUGAUAGGACAGUUAGUGUUGGCCACUGUGUAGGAGAGAAGAGGUAGAAAACCCUCAACGCCGAGAGGACCUUGAGAUGCUUCCUCCCUUCCAUUAAGCAAGUGAAAACACUAAAGAACAAAGGAAGAAAACUGAGGGUUCCAAAGUGACUUACCCAGGGUGACAGAGUAAUUGCAUACGCUCCCAGGAAUAGGAACCAGGCAUCCAGGGCUCUUUACUACUUUGUGCUUGGGGAGAGAUGCCUUUGGCUUCUCAUGGGAAGAACACAGUUGGAUCGCCUCAUGUUUGGGGGAGGCUGGCUGUGUAUCCUUGUGAGCAGUUAACACUUGAGUGAACUGUGGUGUCCACGGAAUACUC
RNAcentral lists this long non-coding RNA (7148 nucleotides) under Sus scrofa (pig). Its description in RNAcentral is "lncRNA (ENSSSCG00015055552.1)". Lineage: Eukaryota; Metazoa; Chordata; Mammalia; Artiodactyla; Suidae. The record is from RNAcentral.